This 4863-nucleotide long non-coding RNA is filed under the name Musa acuminata (dwarf banana). RNAcentral's name for it is "long non-coding RNA (MACU_LNC007617)". Lineage: Eukaryota; Viridiplantae; Streptophyta; Magnoliopsida; Zingiberales; Musaceae. The record is from RNAcentral.
UUAACUAGUGAAUAACAAAUAUACAUUGUGUUCGGAACGGUAUAACAUCAAGAUGGAUGUACUGGCCAUAUUAACUACUGGAAAGAGAAGAGGACAGGGCUCCCAAUGACUGUAUUGGAUGAAGCACUGGAAAGAGAAUAUGCUAUGCCACCCACUCUAAGGCCUUAACAAUUGAAGGCGAAGGAAGGUGAUGAUGAUGAUGAGUAUGCAAAAAAGAAAGAGCGAAGGGAGGAACCAAACCCCCAACUCCUUGGGGCGAAUCAAGGCCCUUUCACUAUGCUUGUCCCACUAGAUAGCUUGGGAAAAUCUGUCAAUUCAAACCUCUAUACAAAUGACUACGCCUAUUCAAACCUCAAUUCCAUACAAAGCACUUACGUACGCCUCUAACUAACAAUAUAAGACUAGCUAAAGCUAGACACAGGCUCUUGCUAGAAAGAGUCGCAAGCUGCUAACUUUUCCAUGAGAUCUACACGUGAAUGAAAGGGUCUACGAAACUGCCCCACCAUUUCGACACCGCUUUGUUAAGUGGGCAGCCUACACAUUGGAAGAGGGGAUAUGGGGUUAGACGGCUUCUGUUGGUGUUCUCCCUUGGGGGGUUAUUUAAGCGACUGCUUGGAUUUGUUUCUUGAGUUUCUUUCUUUAUGUGUAAUCAUAAGCUCAAUCGCUUUCCAUCAAGGAAGUAUGCAAAGUUCGCUCCUUGUCAAAGUGGAACUGACUCCGGGCCCUAAAGAACUAGAAAGAGCUAGCCUACUUGAAUGGAAAGAUGUUCUCCCGGAGCUCCCUGCCUUGAUCGACUGUGUCUGAGCUGAGGGAAUAAGGCUUAGCACCUUUUCUCCCGAGUCAAGGGGCUGUACUCAAUCAAUGGUUCUGGUGGGUCAGCGGUAAAUCUGCUUUUCUUUUAAGUAAGAUGCCGCGAUAUGUGAUUCCAGGGUUUCAUUAGGUUAAUUUCCCCUUACACCUAACAUAACAGAUCGGCACCAACAUAUACUAUCUUAUUGACUUAGUGGUUAAGGUUUAGGUUCAGAAAGUGUAGUUCCUGGCUUUGAUGCGAGGUCUACUAACAAGCUUAAGGAUCUGGAUCCGAGGCUGGGCAAGGAAAAUCUACUUGUUCAGGUAAAGAAUAAGGAGAAGGCUAAACGAGCUCCUAUAUCAAGAGAAAGAUUAGAAAGAAUAAAGUCCUGUGUUUUAGCGUAAGGAGCCAUCAGGGUGCUUCAUCAAGUGGAGUUUCUUCUUUUGUGCGCUAGCUUACUGUCUUUCUACUACUGAUUCUCGAGUCGACUAGGAUUCAACUUAUUGUCUUAGCGCUUCAGCAGUUGAUCAUUCAGUCCAAUCUUCUUUUUACGAAUCAACAAGAACGGAAAGAGACUCUCGUAUUCAGUACUUUGAACUAGAGCAGGUCAAUAAGGCUAAAGAGUAGAUGAGGCUUCUUAUUACUAACCUGAUCUGGCUUCUUAUCCUUCUAAAGAAAGCUGAUGAUCUCGAUUCCACACUCGAACCUUUACUGGAUUCUGCCUCGACCCCUGCUUGAAAAUAUUGAUUAUUUCCCCCGAACUCGACUUUCCUGUCAACCGUAUUCCACUACUUUGCACUCUUGCUCUUAUCCCUGGGUUUCUGGCUCAAGUACUGUUGCUUGCCCGAUUUCAUCUUUAAUAACAAUUGUAUACCUCUGGAAUAGUCUACUUCUCCUCUUCUCUUGUCUAUACGUUGCUUGGCCCUUCCAGUCCUUUCUUUCUUACCCACUUCCUAUUGUCUACCUUGCCGACCUGUAUUUAUAGAGUGCCUUUCCGAAUGGAUUGAGAGUACCCUGCUUGAACACCCAUCUUUAGAGUCGUUUAACUAACCUAUGCUCACGUGAAACCCUGGCACACCAGAAGGUAUCAAACGAAAGAAGAAAACCGGCUGGCUAUCUAUCCAGAGUGGCUUGUUUAGUAGUUGCUUGUUGAUUCCACUCAGAAUGUCGCCUAGACUAUUGAUUGCCCCUGUACCUCUGGCUACAAAAGUGAUAAUUGAGCCCUGCUGACAACACCGCUCUAUACGAGAUUAUUUCAUUUAUUGACUUCGAGCCCUGUACUAUGUUCUUUCCUCAUUGUAGAGUUUAGUGAUUCUUUCAUUAUAGUGAGGUGCGUGCCGUGCCCAUCUAAGUGCCUAAUAUGUAUGUCAUAGUUGAGUUCGCCCAAGUGUGGUAGUGGGAGUGAGUGUUGAAGGAAGAUGCUCUAGUGGAUCCCCCAUUAUUAGAAUAAGAGCGAGUAAGAUGCAUGCUCUAUAUCCCCCAUUAUUAGAAUAAGAGCAGUGUUGUUACUAAGUUCUAUAUGUUUGAUGCACGCUAGAUUCCACUAUAUAAGAUAUAUGUUUGAUGCAUGCUAGGAUGAAACUAUAUAAGUGAGUAAGCUGUCAAUAUCUUCAUAAUCUGUACAUUGAUAAGAAACGACUUUGCCCUAGCGAAUUUGCUUAUUCAAGUUGUUAAUAGUUAGAGGUGACAAUACUCUUAUCAUAGGGAAGAGCACUCAAUUCAAACAAGUAAGGGCGAAAGCAAGUGGUAGAUAAAAACCAAUGGAACAAGCUUUAAGAUGUUAGGUUACACAUUUCUAUAAGUUCCGCUAUUAACCAUCUUCGCAGUGUUUUUCAUUUGAAAUAUCAUGUGGUAUGGUACACCUAAAUUCUCUUCUUUAGAAUUAGCAGACUUACUUAGAUAUCAUAUUGUCCUACCUUGAUAAAGGAUACUUGUGUAUUCUACCGGGGGUAGGCUCGGAAUGUGCCUAAGGAGUGACAGAGUAGAGCUAGCCAGUAUAAGCCUUAAGCCGCUCUCCAGGAUACGGAAUUUCCCUCAGUAGGCUAAGAAUGCGAGGGUAAAGACUCUGACUGGAUACUGGAUUCCAGGUGACAGAAUUGACCUUAGUGGUUCAAGAAUUCAUCCAGUACUAGCUUCUCUCUUUCCCUAUUUAUUAAGUCUUCCCUGUAUCUAGACUACAUCAAUACCCAUUUCUUAAGUCUUGCCCGCAUCUCUAGUACUAUACCAAUACGACUUUAAGAUUGAACUCACCAAUACUACUAUAAGACUACCCGCAUCUAGUAUUUCAUUACAUGACUUAGCAUCUAGGCCUUAGCAACAGUAGCAGUGUGUUCCGAUAGUAGCAACAGUAGGAGUGAGUUCCAAAAACAAGGCUUUCACGCCAGAGCCAGAUUGAGAGCCAUAACACCCAGGGUCAACUCCUCUUAUGUAUGGUCCACGGCACUCCUUACGCUAAUUCUCCAGCUAUUGAUCUAGAACCACCAAACAAAACAACAACUAAACAAGCAACUCGGGAAGAAAAUGCAGGACUUGUGCGCCAACACCGACUGAUGAAACUCGGGAUUACACUCUAACCAGAGCAGCCCUACCGCCAUGAAUACCAACGGACACAGGACCUGGUAGAGCAGAGACAAAAGAAAUCAAUCAAGAAAUCAAGAAAGUAGAGGCGGAAAGUAGAGGCGGAACCCCUGUAGCUGUACUUUAAGAAUGAACUGGCAAGAGAGAGAGGUCCGCUCGAAAUAGGGUAUUCGUUUUCCUCGGUCCUUGGCGCAGGAGAGAAUAAAUGAUUGUUUGAAGUGAUAAUUCCUAGUGAUUUCAUUGUGCUUUACUUUAUGACUUAAGAAUUCCCGACCUGUGAAGAUUCAAUCAGAAACUACUUUCGAAAGAGGGAGAACCUGAUUGGCUGUUUACAGGAGACCCGUCCACUUGAGCCUGAAGCUGCUUCUCGCAUGAAAAGGCAUGAUCAAAUAAAGAGGGCUUCUCGAUGUCUGAAGGAACCCAUGUACUUUGACUAGGCUCGGAAUAGCUUCCCACAAACACAUAGCCUGCAGGCAAGGAGGCAAACUCUGCUCCUUACUCUAUACUUGUUGAACUGACUCAAGCGAACUCACUCAAGGCAAAACCCAAGUGUCUAGCCAUGAGUAAGGGGGGACCGAAGGCAGUCUCUUUCCAGCCGCCUGUCUUUUCAAGCCAGUCCAAAAAGAUGUAUUUCCAAUCAGUAGGUGAUAAGAUGCAUUCAAAUCGAUCAAGGGGAGAGAACGACAAUAAGAAGACAUUCAUCCAUUUUCCCUUUAGGAGUCCAUUUUCCCUUUCUUUUGAUGAGUCAAUAUUCCCUUAUUUUUGAUGAGUAAAUAUUCCCUUAUUUAUUGUUUUUACUUAGAAUUGGUAGUGCUCUUAGUCCCUCCACUCCUGCCUUCCUGUUCCAUUGCUUUUUCUGGCUUACCUUACGUUGAGUUCCUGUUUUCGGGAGUUCACCUUGAGAAUGCAAUGAUCACUUGAGAGUUUAGGGGUAUAGUAUAGAAGUCGCACCACUCACAAAGUUCAGUAAAGCAUCACUAACUAAAGAAGAUAGAGUGAGCUGUUAUAGAAAUGGGUACCCAAAGGUAUAGGUAGAUUUCAGAUCCAAGUCGUCAACUUAUUGUCCAGCAGUCGCUUCUUGUCGGUCUGUUCCAGUUAUUGUUUCAUCCUAUAUAUAAGCCGAAGAUAAUCUAGUAUUCGCGCGGAUAGAGGAAUAAGUUGGAAGAUCAUCAGCAUCAGAAUGGCCUGUUCCACUGGUAAGGAGUCAUCCAAAUAAUCAAGGAUAAGAAUAAGUGCAAAGAGCAGGUACAAAAAACAUUCUACUAAGCUUGUUCCGCCGCAGAGCUUGCUUCUUUAGACUCUGGAUUCACUUACCUUACCCGCAACACAAGAAAGAACUUGAUAACCGGCCGAUACUACCACUACAAGGUCAAGCUAGCAAUUAGGUUCGGUGUCCUACCACCAUCUUAUAGAAUAUGUUCCGUCUGGUAUAUGAUUUCUUUUAUAUAGAAUAUGUUCCGUCUGGUAUAUGAUUUCUUUCGAGUGCGCCUAUGAUC